This 877-nucleotide ribosomal RNA is filed under the name uncultured bacterium. RNAcentral describes it as "bacterial SSU rRNA". It matches the Rfam family "Bacterial small subunit ribosomal RNA", at positions 58 to 926 of the family's 1533-position model. The record is from RNAcentral.
CAAGUCGAGGGGAACGACAUCGAAAGCUUGCUUUUGAUGGGCGUCGACCGGCGCACGGGUGAGUAACGCGUAUCCAACCUGCCCAUCACUUGGGGAUAACCUUGCGAAAGUAAGACUAAUACCCAAUGAUAUCUCUAGAAGGCAUCUGAAAGAGAUUAAAGAUUUAUCGGUGAUGGAUGGGGAUGCGUCUGAUUAGCUUGUUGGCGGGGUAACGGCCCACCAAAGCAACGAUCAGUAGGGGUUCUGAGAGGAAGGUCCCCCACAUUGGAACUGAGACACGGUCCAAACUCCUACGGGAGGCAGCAGUGAGGAAUAUUGGUCAAUGGACGAGAGUCUGAACCAGCCAAGUAGCGUGCAGGAUGACGGCCCUAUGGGUUGUAAACUGCUUUUAUAAGGGAAUAAAGUGAGUCUCGUGAGACUUUUUGCAUGUACCUUAUGAAUAAGGACCGGCUAAUUCCGUGCCAGCAGCCGCGGUAAUACGGAAGGUCCGGGCGUUAUCCGGAUUUAUUGGGUUUAAAGGGAGCGUAGGCCGGAGAUUAAGCGUGCUGUGAAAUGUAGAUGCUCAACAUCUGCACUGCAGCGCGAACUGGUUUCCUUGAGUACGCACAAAGUGGGCGGAAUUCGUGGUGUAGCGGUGAAAUGCUUAGAUAUCACGAAGAACUCCGAUUGCGAAGGCAGCUCACUGGAGCGCAACUGACGCUGAAGCUCGAAAGUGCGGGUAUCGAACAGGAUUAGAUACCCUGGUAGUCCGCACGGUAAACGAUGGAUGCCCGCUGUUGGUCUGAAUAGGUCAGCGGCCAAGCGAAAGCAUUAAGCAUCCCACCUGGGGAGUACGCCGGCAACGGUGAAACUCAAAGGAAUUGACGGGGGCCCGCAC